Molecule: small RNA, 271 nt
Filed under: Pan troglodytes (chimpanzee)
Lineage: Eukaryota; Metazoa; Chordata; Mammalia; Primates; Hominidae
Description: Metazoan signal recognition particle RNA (ENSPTRG00000049974.1)
Source: RNAcentral
GCCGGGCGUAGUGGCACGUGCCUGUAAUCCCAGCUACUCAGGAGGCUGAGGCAUGAGAAUUGCUAGAACCAGGGAGUCGGAGGUUGCAGUGAGCCGAGAUGGCGCCACUGCACUCCAGCCUGGCAACAGAGCGAGACUGUGUCUCAAAAAAAAAAAAACCCCAAAGAAACAAUAUUUUGCUCUGUUGCCGAGGCUGGAGUGCAGUGGUGGUGGUGCAAUCAUAACUUACUGCAGCCUUGACCUCCUGUCCUCAAGUGAUCAUCUUGCCUCA